AACUAAUUAUUUGACUGGCUUAACAACCUUUUUCCGUGAUUUUCUCUUUUCCACUGUAUUCGCAAUGGUCCUAAGAACCGCAGCGUCACAUUUUACGGUUUGAAAUUUGAGUUUAAAUCGACUUCGCAGUCGUUCCCGAGAAGUUGUCUUAAGUAUGGUUCUAAUCCCCUUAAUUGUCCUGACCGACACCGGUCACCGGAACAGCGAAAUAUACCAGGCUAUACCAAUA
Molecule: unclassified non-coding RNA, 229 nt
Filed under: Hevea brasiliensis (rubber tree)
Lineage: Eukaryota; Viridiplantae; Streptophyta; Magnoliopsida; Malpighiales; Euphorbiaceae
Source: RNAcentral